This 2020-nucleotide long non-coding RNA is filed under the name Macaca fascicularis (crab-eating macaque). RNAcentral's name for it is "lncRNA (ENSMFAG00000064096.1)". The record is from RNAcentral. Lineage: Eukaryota; Metazoa; Chordata; Mammalia; Primates; Cercopithecidae.
UUUUUUUCUUUUUUGUUUUUUAACAUUAUUCUGACUUAAUUUUAACUGUAAUAUUCUUAAACAUGAAGGAAACUCUUUAUCAGGAUUAUGGAAUUAAAGAGCAUUUCUUGAUUAAGCAUGCCUUUACUUGUAGUUCACACAUUUCAUUUACAUAAACAAGUGUUAAGUACUACUUAGCACUAUAUGUUCUUCAUAAUAGAAAAUACAAAGAUUCCUUUCAUGAAAGAUGAAAGCUAAAUGAUGCAAAUUAUAAACAAUGCCACACAUGAAACAAAAUGAAGUCUGGCUUUCCUGAUGCCAAAGAGAUGUUGAGAGUUCCACAAAACAAACAAAAAUAUAAAAAUCACGGCUGGGCGUGGUGCUUGUGCCUGUAAUCCCAGCACUUUGGGAGGCCGAGGUGGGUGGAUCAUGAGGUCAGGAGAUCGAGACCAUCCUGGCUAACAUGGUGAAACCUCGUCUCUAUUAAAAAUACAAAAAAAUUAGCCAGGUGUGGUGGUGGGCACCUGUAGUCCCAGCUACUCGGGAAGCUGAGGCAGGAGAAUGGCGUGAACCUGGGAGGUGGAGCUUGCAUUGAGCAGAGAUCGCAUCAUUGCACUCCAGUCUGGGCAACAGAGCAAGAUUCCAUCUCAAAACAAAAAAAAAAGUAAAAUCACUUUGUGAAUGUCUGUGUUGAUCAGGUAAUGUGUGCAACAGAUUAGCUGUCGUCUGACUUCCAAACUGUAGGGGAGACUUCCACUUUCUGCUUUACUCAUUUCUGUAUUCCUUGAAAUAUUUGUUUGCAUGACUUCUCUCUGGACUAUAUAUAGUCUAUAGUUCAUGUAUACAGGGACUCUCUCCCCCUUUCUAUUAACUCUAGGGAAGUAUCAGCACCAUACCCAUUGUUACAGAGAAGUCUUAUGAGUUUUAGCAUGAGAAAAUUAUUAAAUGUAAUUGAAGAAAUGAGGACUAGAUUAGUGAAUGCUAGGAGUCAGAAUGGGGGUAAGGGAGUUGGAUGAAGCCAUAAAUUGCAACAUGAGGAAUCUCUGUGGUGAUGGAACUGUUCUGUACCUUGAUUAUAUCAAUGUCAACAUCCUGGUUGUAAUGUUAUGCUAUGGUUUUGUGAGAUACUGGCCACUGGGUGAAACCAGGUAAAAGAUAUAUGGAAUCAGUCUAUACUAUUUCUUAGAACUGCAUGUGAAUCUACAAUUAUCUCAAAAGGAAAGAUUUAACUGGAAAGCGACAGUAACAGUAUAAGCAAUUAAACAAAACAGGAACCCAUGAGUUCAUACUGGUAUAAAUGAGUGAAUAAAUGAGAAAAAAAGUUUCUCACAGAAGAAUGCCAGUAUGUUUUGAAAAGAGAAUUAGAAAUUCAUCAUUUGGCAACUAUCAGAAUAAUAAUUAAUUCAUCCAAGAAAUAUCAAUGGAUGCUAAAACUAGACAUUAAAAUUUGAUGAGGAACAGGAUACUCACAUAGCCCCAAUUUCCUCUCUACAGGGUGCUUAUUACAAAGGAAAAAAUGAUUGAGGGUGUGUGUGCAACAGGUAUCUGUUUUCUUCAUAGUGGACAAACCUAGUAGACACCACCUUAACUGCAUAAUCAAAGUAUCUAAUAGGACAAAUCAACAUGACGUGCUGUUGGAUGGGAUGUGGUCAGAAGAACCACAGCAGCAUUUCUGUCUUGUUUUGUCAAAGAUAAAUGACCUAAAUACAAUUUAAAAUGUCAGACAAGCCAAGUUGAGAGACACUCUAAAAAAUGACCUGUGAUCUUUAAGUGACAAGGUCAUGAAAGUCAAGAAAAAACUUAGAGACCGUUGAAGAUUUAAGAAGACUCAAAGAGAGAUAAUACAGCCAGCCAGCUUGGACUAGGUUAUUUUGCUAUAAUGGACAUUAUUGGACAAAUUGAUGAAGAUUGAGUGGGAUCUGUGAAUGAAAUGGUUGUUUCUGUAUCAAUGUUAAUUUCACUUUAAUAAUUGCAUUGAGGUUACGAAAGAGAAUGUCCUUAUCUGUAGGAAUUACAUAAGAAAGUAUUCAGGGGUGAUGGG